RNAcentral lists this ribosomal RNA (253 nucleotides) under uncultured bacterium. RNAcentral describes it as "partial 16S ribosomal RNA". It matches the Rfam family "Bacterial small subunit ribosomal RNA", at positions 524 to 776 of the family's 1533-position model. The record is from RNAcentral.
GACGAACCGUGCGAACGUUGUUCGGAAUCACUGGGCUUAAAGGGCGCGUAGGCGGGCGGUCCAGUCAGGGGUGAAAUCUUUCGGCUCAACCGGAAAAGUGCCCCUGAUACUGACCACCUCGAGGGGUGUAGGGGCAUGUGGAACUAAUGGUGGAGCGGUGAAAUGCGUAGAUAUCAUUAGGAACGCCGGUGGCGAAAGCGACGUGCUGGACACCUUCUGACGCUGAGGCGCGAAAGCCAGGGGAGCAAACGGG